CUAGUCACCCCUUCCCUCACUCUGUCACUUGUCACCCCCUCACUCUGUCACUAGUCACCCCCUCACUCUAGUGACAGAGAGAGGGAGGGGGUGACUAGUGACAGAGUGAGGGAGGGAGGGGGUGACUAGUGACAGAGUGAGGGAGGGAAGGGGUGCCUAGUGACAGAGUGAGGGAGGUGGUGAUUAGUGACAGAGGGAGGGAUGGGGUGACUAGUGACAGUCACCACCUCCUUCACUCUGUCACUGUGUCACCCUCUCCCUCACUCUGUCACUGUGUCACCCCCUUCCUCACUCUGUCACUAGUCACCCCUUCCUUCCCUCACUCUGUCACCUGUCAACCCCUCACUCUGUCACUAGUCACCCCCUCACUCUAGUGA
Non-coding RNA from Pelobates cultripes (western spadefoot toad), 377 nucleotides. The record is from the annotation of a GenBank genome assembly. NCBI's taxonomy places the organism in Eukaryota, Metazoa, Chordata, Amphibia, Anura, Pelobatidae.